GGGUUGUGAGGUUAAGCGACUAAGCGUACACGGUGGAUGCCCUGGCAGUCAGAGGCGAUGAAGGACGUGCUAAUCUGCGAAAAGCGUCGGUAAGGUGAUAUGAACCGUUAUAGCCGGCGAUGUCCGAAUGGGGAAACCCAGUGCAAUUCGUUGCACUAUCGUUAACUGAAUACAUAGGUUAACGAGGCGAACCGGGGGAACUGAAACAUCUAAGUACCCCGAGGAAAAGAAAUCAACCGAGAUUCCCCCAGUAGCGGCGAGCGAACGGGGAGCAGCCCGGAGUCUGAAUCAGCUUGUGUGUUAGUGGAAGCGUCUGGAAAGUCGCAGGGUACAGGGUGAUACUCCCGUACACUAAAGCACACAGGUUGUGAACUCGAAGAGUAGGGCGGGACACGUGGUAUCCUGUCUGAAUAUGGGGGGACCAUCCUCCAAGGCUAAAUACUCCUGACUGACCGAUAGUGAACCAGUACCGUGAGGGAAAGGCGAAAAGAAC
This 493-nucleotide ribosomal RNA is filed under the name Klebsiella sp. CVUAS 11263. Its description in RNAcentral is "Klebsiella sp. 11263 partial 23S ribosomal RNA". It matches the Rfam family "Bacterial large subunit ribosomal RNA", at positions 1 to 524 of the family's 2925-position model. Lineage: Bacteria; Pseudomonadati; Pseudomonadota; Gammaproteobacteria; Enterobacterales; Enterobacteriaceae. The record is from RNAcentral.